UUGAUAGAACUUUUCCAAGUUUCUUCAUAUUCCCUGUUUAUAUCAACUACGUUUCUUCCAUCGGACAGGUCUUUUAGGACCCUCUAGCUUGAGUAAAUGCACUUGCUGGGGAGUUGCCGGUGGCGUUUCUAAUAAAAAACUUUUUGUCAAUCAUGAACUGUCUGAACUACUUUCAAAUGAAAUA
This 184-nucleotide unclassified non-coding RNA is filed under the name uncultured Pezizaceae. RNAcentral's name for it is "sequence contains ITS1". Lineage: Eukaryota; Fungi; Ascomycota; Pezizomycetes; Pezizales; Pezizaceae. The record is from RNAcentral.